RNAcentral lists this unclassified non-coding RNA (305 nucleotides) under Hevea brasiliensis (rubber tree). Lineage: Eukaryota; Viridiplantae; Streptophyta; Magnoliopsida; Malpighiales; Euphorbiaceae. The record is from RNAcentral.
UUCCUUUGCAACUCAAAGCCUGGGGAUAAAGUUCAGAUCACUGGACCUUCUGGCAAGAUAAUGCUUUUGCCUGAAGAUAACCCUAAUGCCACGCACAUAAUGAUUGCAACUGGCACUGGAGUGGCUCCUUUUAGAGGCUACCUCAGACGAAUGUUCAUGGAGGAUAUCCCUACAUUCAAGUUUGGUGGUCUUGCUUGGCUCUUCCUUGGAGUAGCAAACACCGACAGCCUCCUCUAUGAUGAUGAAUUUACAAAGUAUCUUCAAGCCUACCCAGAUCACUUCCGCUAUGACAAGGCACUUAGCAG